RNAcentral lists this ribosomal RNA (440 nucleotides) under uncultured bacterium. Its description in RNAcentral is "partial 16S ribosomal RNA". It matches the Rfam family "Bacterial small subunit ribosomal RNA", at positions 338 to 795 of the family's 1533-position model. The record is from RNAcentral.
CCUACGGGUGGCAGCAGUGGGGAAUAUUGCACAAUGGGGGAAACCCUGAUGCAGCGACGCCGCGUGAGUGAAGAAGUAAUUCGUUAUGUACAGCUCUAUCAGCAGGGAAGAAAAUGACGGUACCUGAGUAAGAAGCCCCGGCUAACUACGUGCCAGCAGCCGCGGUAAUACGUAGGGGGCAAGCGUUACCCGGAUUUACUGGGUGGAAAGGGAGCGUAGACGGCAGUGCAAGUCUGGAGUGAAAGGCGGGGGCUCAACCCCCGGACUGCUCUGGAAACUGUACGGCUGGAGUGCAGGAGAGGUAAGUGGAAUUCCUAGUGUAGCGGUGAAAUGCGUAGAUAUUAGGAGGAACACCAGUGGCGAAGGCGGCUUACUGGACUGUAACUGACGUUGAGGCUCGAAAGCGUGGGGAGCAAACAGGAUUAGAUACCCCUGUAGUC